This 200-nucleotide ribosomal RNA is filed under the name uncultured bacterium. Its description in RNAcentral is "partial 16S ribosomal RNA". It matches the Rfam family "Bacterial small subunit ribosomal RNA", at positions 8 to 199 of the family's 1533-position model. The record is from RNAcentral.
AGAGUUUGAUCAUGGCUCAGGGUUAACGCUGGCGGCGUGCCUAACACAUGCAAGUCGAGCGAGAGCCUGGUCCUCGCAAGGGGAGUGGGUAUCUAGCGGCAAACGGGUGAGUAACACGUGGGCAACCUGUCCCUUCGAGGGGGAUAACACCGAGAAAUCGGUGCUAAUACCGCAUGAGAUCGCUGGUGGCAUCAUUGGCG